UUUUUUUUAUUUUAAAUUUGGCCCUCUUUCGCUCUUUACCUUUCGUUUCAUUUCUAUUCUUUCAUUUUCAUUGUUUCUCUUUCGAUUCUUCAUUCUUUUUCUUUAUUCUUUCAGUCUUUUCUUUCUCCAGUUUUUGGCUGUACUUUUGGGUUCUUUUUCUUGAUUUGUUUGUGAUCUUGAAUUUGUUUAAUGGAGGACGAUUAUCAUCAGCGCAAUUUGGGGGCACAUGCACCUUCCCCUGGAUACUAUC
RNAcentral lists this unclassified non-coding RNA (250 nucleotides) under Hevea brasiliensis (rubber tree). The record is from RNAcentral. Lineage: Eukaryota; Viridiplantae; Streptophyta; Magnoliopsida; Malpighiales; Euphorbiaceae.